Molecule: ribosomal RNA, 556 nt
Filed under: Bacillus thuringiensis
Lineage: Bacteria; Bacillati; Bacillota; Bacilli; Caryophanales; Bacillaceae
Description: bacterial SSU rRNA
Rfam family: Bacterial small subunit ribosomal RNA
Source: RNAcentral
AGGAAUUGACGGGGGCCCGCACAAACGGUGGAACAUGAGAUUUAAAAAGAAGAAACGCGAAGAACCUAACCAGUUCUUGACAUCCAAGAAAACCCUAGAGAUAGGGCUUCUCCUUCGGGAGCAGAGUGACAGGUGGUGCAUGGUUGUCGUCAGCUGAAUCGUGAGAUGAUGGGUAAAAUACCCCAACGAGCGCAACCCUUAAUCUUAGUUGCCAUCAUUAAGUUGGGCUCUCUAAGGUGACUGCCGGUGACAAACCGAAGGAAGGUGGGGAUGAAGUCAAAUCAUCAUGCCCAUUAUGACCUGGGCUACACACAUGAUACAAUGGACGGUACAAAGAGCUGCAAGACCGCGAGGAGAGCUAAUCUCAUAAAACCGUUCUCAGUUCGGAUUGUAGGCUGCAACUAGCCUACAUGAAGCUGGAAUCGAAGUAAUCGCGGAUCAGCAUGCCGCGGUGAAUACGUUCCCGGGCCUUGUACAAACCGCCCGUCACACCACGAGAGUUUAAACACCCGAAAUUAUCGGGUAUCCUUUUUGAGCCAGCCCCUAAGGGGGACAA